RNAcentral lists this ribosomal RNA (440 nucleotides) under uncultured bacterium. Its description in RNAcentral is "partial 16S ribosomal RNA". It matches the Rfam family "Bacterial small subunit ribosomal RNA", at positions 338 to 795 of the family's 1533-position model. The record is from RNAcentral.
CCUACGGGUGGCAGCAGUGGGGGAUAUUGCACAAUGGGGGGAACCCUGAUGCAGCGACGCCGCGUGUGGGAAGACGGUCCUCUGGAUUGUAAACCACUGUCCCCAGGGACGAAAAUGACGGUACCUGGGGAGGAAGCUCCGGCUAACUACGUGCCAGCAGCCGCGGUAAUACGGAGGGAGCGAGCGUUGUCCGGAAUUACUGGGGGAAAAGGGAGCGUAGGCGGGGAUGCAAGUUGGGUGUCAAAACUACGGGCUAAACUGGUAGUCGCACUCAAAACUGCAGCUCUUGAGUGAAGUAGAGGCAGGCGGAAUUCCUAGUGUAGCGGUGAAAUGCGUAGAUAUUAGGAGGAACACCAGUGGCGAAGGCGGCCUGCUGGGCUUUUACUGACGCCGAGGCUCGAAAGUGUGGGGAGCAAACAGGAUUAGAUACCCUGGUAGUC